This 352-nucleotide long non-coding RNA is filed under the name Homo sapiens (human). RNAcentral's name for it is "non-protein coding lnc-FAM172A-10:1". The record is from RNAcentral. Lineage: Eukaryota; Metazoa; Chordata; Mammalia; Primates; Hominidae.
CCUGGGUACAUCAGAAUAAACUAUUUAACUCUAUGGAAUACACUUGGAUUUUAAAAUACAAAACUGGAAACAGAUCCAUUGGAACAAUUAUGGCUAAGCACAACCUAUUCAGGUUUAAUAGAAAUAUUAAUACCUGUUACUAUGAAUAAGAUAAUCACAUUACAAGUGAAAAUAGUUUUAAUUGAAAUAUUGUAGUUUUGAUUUGGCACUGUAAUUAGCAUCUGUAUUUUAAACUUUGUGACUGCUGUGAACAUUAUUUAUGGAAGGUUUAUAUUAAUAUAAUUUGGUGCUUGUUGCUUUUAUCAAAUAUUGGUGUCUAAUGAAAUAAAGUGCAAAGAACUUGAAGUUCUCA